RNAcentral lists this transfer RNA (69 nucleotides) under Rattus norvegicus (Norway rat). It matches the Rfam family "tRNA". Rfam says of the family: Transfer RNA (tRNA) molecules are approximately 80 nucleotides in length. Lineage: Eukaryota; Metazoa; Chordata; Mammalia; Rodentia; Muridae. The record is from Rfam by way of RNAcentral.
GGGGAUUUAGCUCAGUGGUAGAGCCCUUGCCUAGCAAGCGCAAGGCCCUGGGUUCGGUUCCCAGCUCCA